GGGGGGUGUAACUCAGUGGUAGAGCGUUCGCUUCGCCUGUGAAAGGUCCGGGGUUCAAACCCCCGUUCCUA
Molecule: transfer RNA, 71 nt
Filed under: Caerostris darwini
Lineage: Eukaryota; Metazoa; Arthropoda; Arachnida; Araneae; Araneidae
Description: tRNA-Ala
Rfam family: tRNA
About the family: Transfer RNA (tRNA) molecules are approximately 80 nucleotides in length. Their secondary structure includes four short double-helical elements and three loops (D, anti-codon, and T loops). Further hydrogen bonds mediate the characteristic L-shaped molecular structure. tRNAs have two regions of fundamental functional importance: the anti-codon, which is responsible for specific mRNA codon recognition, and the 3' end, to which the tRNAs corresponding amino acid is attached (by aminoacyl-tRNA synthetases). tRNAs cope with the degeneracy of the genetic code in two manners: having more than one tRNA (with a specific anti-codon) for a particular amino acid; and 'wobble' base-pairing, i.e. permitting non-standard base-pairing at the 3rd anti-codon position.
Source: RNAcentral